UUAGCUAUGGCAGCACUAAUAGAUCCAAGGAUUAAACUACAUAUGCUUAAAGAAGCUUAUCAUAAACUGGAUCCUAGAACUUCUGAGAAAAAGAUUGAAAUAGUCAAGAAUAACUUGGAAUUGCUUAUAAAGAGUAUAGUUCAAAGACUUCAGAAAGUUUUCUUCCAAACUUCCAAGAAAAACUUCACAUGAACUCCUUACAUAAUCACUUUUUGAAGAUGAUUUUGAUGAUGUAAGAUUCUUAUAUAAAAUUUCUGUUUAUUUUAACUUCUUAAUAACUGGCUAAUUGCUUUUUUACCUCUGAUUUUAUUUGAAUACAUGAUCUGCUUGAGUUUGAAAGGUGUAUCCAGUUUGGUUCAAACAACGAAAGGACAAAUCUGGACAUGUAUUUGGCUGAUACCAAAGUUGACAUUUCGGCUUUCUCAGAUAUGGAGGUCUUAAACUAUUGGAGAGAUAAGCAACACAUAUAUGGUGACUUAGCUUUGCUUGCCCGUGAUAUUCUCAGCAUGCAUAUCACUAAUGUUGCGUAUAUAUGAGUCUGCGUUUAGUGUGGGAGGUAGAGUUUAGAGCUCUUUUAGAAACCGUCUCUUUCCUAAAAUUGUUCAAGCACUGAUCUGUACGCGAAAAUGUUUACACGGGUUUUUUUGAGUUUGAAGGAGACAUUGAGGAGUACUUUGAUUAUGAUGAUGAGGAUGCUAAUAAAAGAGCAAGUAGCUCAGGAAAUGAAGAUUCAAACAUGUGGUAAAUACUCUGUUUUAAGUUCUUGACUUUUUGUUAAUUACUUGUGAAUGUGUCACUGACUCGUGAAUGGUUGUGUUUGGCCUGUGUUCUCUCAGUUAUUUUCUCAUUUGAAUGUGUCUUCUUUGAAUGUGUGACUGCAAUUUAGAGAUUCUGAAACAGGUUUUAGUACUUCGGUCUU
Long non-coding RNA from Raphanus sativus (radish), 919 nucleotides. RefSeq lists it as uncharacterized. The transcript is spliced from 2 exons. The record is from RefSeq and is a predicted model, not a curated record. NCBI's taxonomy places the organism in Eukaryota, Viridiplantae, Streptophyta, Magnoliopsida, Brassicales, Brassicaceae.